RNAcentral lists this ribosomal RNA (216 nucleotides) under uncultured bacterium. Its description in RNAcentral is "partial 16S ribosomal RNA". It matches the Rfam family "Bacterial small subunit ribosomal RNA", at positions 1286 to 1500 of the family's 1533-position model. The record is from RNAcentral.
UCUCAGUUCGGAUUGUAGUCUGCAACUCGACUACAUGAAGCUGGAAUCGCUAGUAAUCGCGAAUCAGAAUGUCGCGGUGAAUACGUUCCCGGGUCUUGUACACACCGCCCGUCACACCAUGGGAGUCAGUAACGCCCGAAGUCAGUGACCCAACCUUAUGGGAGGGAGCUGCCGAAGGCGGGACCGAUAACUGGGGUAAAGUCGUAACAAGGUAGC